UUCCGGUUGAUCCUGCCGGAGGCUACCGCUAUUGGAGUUCGAUUAAGCCAUGCGAGUCGCGAGAAAUUAGAUUCUCGGCGUACCGCUCAGUAACACGUGGGUAACCUGCCCUAUGCUGGAUAAUAACCUCGGGAAACUGAGAAUAAUGAUCCAUAGUUCACUACGCCUGGAACGGUGAGUGGAUGAAAGCUCCGGCGGCAUAGGAUGGGCCUGCGGCGUAUCAGGUUGUAGGGGGUGUAACGUACCCUCUAGCCCUCUACGCGUACGGGUGUUGGGAGACAUAGCCCGGAGAUGGAUUCUGAGACACGAAUCCAGACCCUACGGGGUGCAGCAGGCGCGAAAACUUGGCAAUGCGAGAAAUCGUGACCAGGGAACUCCAAGUGCAUCGGGUAAGACCGGUGCUUUUCUUGACUCUAAAUAGGUCUUGGAAUAAGGGGUGGGUAAGGACGGUGCCAGCCGCCGCGGUAAUACCGGCGCCUCAAGUGGUAGUCGCUUUUAUUGGGCCUAAAACGUCCGUAGCCGGUCUGAUACAUUCGUGGGUAAAUCAACCAGCUUAACUGGUUGAAUUCUGCGAGGACGGUCAGACUUGGGACCGGGAGAGGUGUGGGGUACGCUCAGGGUAGGGGUAAAAUCCUGUCAUCCUGAGCGGACCACCUGUUGCGAAGGCGCCACACUAGAACGGAUCCGACGGUCAGGGACGAAGCCUAGGGGCACGAACCGGAUUAGAUACCCGGGUAGUCCUAGGUGUAAACGCUGUGGACUUGAUGUUGGGGGUGCUCCGAGCACUCUCAGUGUCGAAGCGAAGGUGAUAAGUCCACUGCCUGGGAAGUACGGUCGCAAGGCUGAAACUUAAAGGAAUUGGCGGGGGAGCACCGCAACCUGAGGAUUGUGCGGUUUAAUUGGAUUCAACGCCGG
RNAcentral lists this ribosomal RNA (915 nucleotides) under uncultured marine archaeon. RNAcentral describes it as "bacterial SSU rRNA". It matches the Rfam family "Archaeal small subunit ribosomal RNA", at positions 1 to 921 of the family's 1478-position model. The record is from RNAcentral.